GCCGGGCGCGGUGGCUCGCGCCUGUAAUCCCAGCUAUUGGGAAGGCUGAGCCCGGAGGAUCGCUUGAGUCCAGGAGUUCUGGGCUGCAGUGCGCUAUGCCGAUGGGGUGACCCUCUGCACUAAGUUUGGCAUCAAUAUGGUGACGUCCCAGGAGCGGGGGAACACUAGGUUGCCUAAGGAGGGGUGAACCGGCCCAGGUUGGAAACGGAGCAGGUCAGAAAUUUACAGGCACUCUAAGCAGUAAUCAAAUGAAGAACACUUUGCUAUUUCCCUUCCCCUUCCCAAAUUAGAAAAAAUGUAUAU
Molecule: non-coding RNA, 303 nt
Organism: Dipodomys ordii (Ord's kangaroo rat)
Lineage: Eukaryota; Metazoa; Chordata; Mammalia; Rodentia; Heteromyidae
Source: Rfam